GACGAAGGGGGCUAGCGUUGUUCGGAAUUACUGGGCGUAGAGCGAGUGUAGGCGGUUGCCCAAGUCAGGUGUGAAAGCCUUGAGCUCAACUCAAGAAAUGCACUUGGUACUGGGUGGCUAGAGGACCGGAGAGGAUAGUGGAAUUCCCAGUGUAGUGGUGAAAUACGUAGAGAUUGGGAAGAACACCAGUGGCGAAGGCGGCUAUCUGGACGGUUACUGACGCUAAGACUCGAAAGCGUGGGGAGCAAACAGG
This 253-nucleotide ribosomal RNA is filed under the name uncultured bacterium. Its description in RNAcentral is "partial 16S ribosomal RNA". It matches the Rfam family "Bacterial small subunit ribosomal RNA", at positions 524 to 776 of the family's 1533-position model. The record is from RNAcentral.